RNAcentral lists this ribosomal RNA (116 nucleotides) under Escherichia coli. RNAcentral also lists the same sequence under 10 other names. The record is from RNAcentral. Lineage: Bacteria; Pseudomonadati; Pseudomonadota; Gammaproteobacteria; Enterobacterales; Enterobacteriaceae.
UCUGGCGGCAGUAGCGCGGUGGUCCCACCUGACCCCAUGCCGAACUCAGAAGUGAAACGCCGUAGCGCCAAUGGUAGUGUGGGGUCUCCCCAUGCGAGAGUAGGGAACUGCCAGAC